This 460-nucleotide non-coding RNA is filed under the name Pan troglodytes (chimpanzee). Lineage: Eukaryota; Metazoa; Chordata; Mammalia; Primates; Hominidae. The record is from RNAcentral.
UUAGGCGGAGUCUCGCCCUGUCGCCCAGGCUGGACCAGGAGGCAGGAGCCCCAUGCAGUCCUGUGCUGAUGAAGACCCAUUUUUUUCUAGGAGAUUUACACUUUCAUAUGUAUCCCCUGUGACCAGCCCACACACCUGGCUGAGAGAUGGCUCUGCAGGGAGGGAGUCAGCAGGAGGGGAGGGGAGGGAAGAGGAGGGGAGGGAAGAGGAGGGGAGGAAAGAUAUCUUGGGAGGCCAAGGAAAGAAAAGUGAAGAAACCACCUAAGAGGGCAAAUGCAGGGCUCAGUGGGAGGGGCCCAAAGAUGUCCUGAGGAGCCCUGGUGGCAUCUGCCUUGACACCAGGCCCACUGCAGACAGUCGCAAUUUCAUCCAUCCAUUCAUCUAUCAGAUACUGACUGAGGGCCUACUAGGUACCAGGCCCUGAGGAUACAGCCCUGAACAAAGCAGAUAACAGUCCCUG